CGAAAGCCUGUCCCAGUUCGGACUGGAGUCUGCAACCCGACUCCACGAAGUUGGAUUCGCUAGUAAUCGCGCAUCAGCCAUGGCGCGGUGAAUACGUUCCCGGGCCUUGUACACACCGCCCGUCAAGCCAUGGGAGCCGGGGGCGCCUGAAGUCCGGGACCGCGAGGACCGGCCUAGGGCGAAACUGGUAACUGGGGCUAAGUCGUAACAAGGUAUC
This 217-nucleotide ribosomal RNA is filed under the name uncultured bacterium. RNAcentral describes it as "partial 16S ribosomal RNA". It matches the Rfam family "Bacterial small subunit ribosomal RNA", at positions 1276 to 1500 of the family's 1533-position model. The record is from RNAcentral.